Molecule: transfer RNA, 85 nt
Filed under: Myxococcus virescens
Lineage: Bacteria; Pseudomonadati; Myxococcota; Myxococcia; Myxococcales; Myxococcaceae
Description: tRNA-Trp
Source: RNAcentral
CGGAGCCCUGGCGAGGGGAAGCGCGCGGGCCGCUCCAACUGGCCCGAGGCCGACAAGAUUCGCCGUUUCGCGCGGCCGUCCCGGC